UAAGGAAUAUUGGUCAAUGGACGCAAGUCUGAACCAGCCAUGCCGCGUGAAGGAUGAAGGUCCUCUGGAUUGUACACUUCUUUUAUCUGGGACGAAAACGGGAUUUUUAUCUCAAUUGACGGUACCAGAGGAAUAAGCACCGGCUAACUCCGUGCCAGCAGCCGCGGUAAUACGGAGGGUGCGAGCGUUAUCCGGAUUUACUGGAUUUAAAGGGUGCGUAGGUGGGCUUAUAAGUCAGUGGUGAAAUCUCCGAGCUUAACUUGGAAACUGCCGUUGAUACUAUAGGUCUUGAAUUAUAUGGAGGUAAGCGGAAUAUGUCAUGUAGCGGUGAAAUGCUUAGAUAUGACAUAGAACACCAAUUGCGAAGGCAGCUUACUACAUAUAAAUUGACGCUGAGGCACGAAAGCGUGGGGAUCAAACA
RNAcentral lists this ribosomal RNA (421 nucleotides) under uncultured bacterium. Its description in RNAcentral is "bacterial SSU rRNA". It matches the Rfam family "Bacterial small subunit ribosomal RNA", at positions 355 to 774 of the family's 1533-position model. The record is from RNAcentral.